Megalobrama amblycephala (Wuchang bream) is the source of this 460-nucleotide non-coding RNA. Lineage: Eukaryota; Metazoa; Chordata; Actinopteri; Cypriniformes; Xenocyprididae. The record is from the annotation of a RefSeq genome assembly.
AUGACCUUCAUCAUCAUCUUCAUCUGGACUCUCACAGCGUUUGCUCAAGAGUGUAGAGGACAGAUCACCGUCACUCAGAGUCCCUCAAUGACAGCAGCUCAACCAGGACAAACUGUGAACAUCAACUGUAGAACCAGCAGAGAUGUGUACAGUGGUAAUCGUUUAGCCUGGUACUUACAGAAGCCUGGAGAAGCUCCUAAACUCCUGAUUUAUUAUGCAAGCACCCUCCAGUCAGGAACUCCAUCUAGAUUCAGUGGCAGUGGAUCUAACAGUGAUUUCACUCUGACCAUCAGUGGAGUCCAGACUGAAGAUGCUGGACAUUAUUACUGUCUGAGUUUAUACUGGCCUGAGAGCAUUCAGUGGUUCACACAGUGAUAAAGAGUCGUACAAAAACCUCCGUCAGUCAGAGUCACAGUGACUGAACUGAUACUGCAGCUGCUCAAAGGAGGAUCUGAAACAA